Molecule: transfer RNA, 73 nt
Filed under: Ailuropoda melanoleuca (giant panda)
Lineage: Eukaryota; Metazoa; Chordata; Mammalia; Carnivora; Ursidae
Rfam family: tRNA
About the family: Transfer RNA (tRNA) molecules are approximately 80 nucleotides in length. Their secondary structure includes four short double-helical elements and three loops (D, anti-codon, and T loops).
Source: Rfam by way of RNAcentral
ACCUGGCUGGCUCAGUCGGUAGAGCAAGCGAUUCUUGAUCUCGGGGUUGUGAGUUCAAGCCCCAUGCUGUGUG